Scleropages formosus (Asian bonytongue) is the source of this 231-nucleotide long non-coding RNA. RefSeq lists it as uncharacterized. Lineage: Eukaryota; Metazoa; Chordata; Actinopteri; Osteoglossiformes; Osteoglossidae. The transcript is spliced from 3 exons. The record is from RefSeq and is a predicted model, not a curated record.
CGGGGAGGCUGAAGUAUCACCUGUACAGAGAAAGGUCCCUCUCCCAGGGCCGGUCCGCAGUUCUGCCGGACGAACGCCUCCUUGGCUGGUUACUCUGUCAGUGUCAGCUCAGGACACCCAAGACCCGUCUCCUUGCAGCACAUGAUGGGCUGGCCCAGGAAAUUCAGCCUAAGAACGGAUCGUAAAAUGCUUAAAGAAGUCUCCAGGAACCCUUGAGUUUCGUCCCAGGAU